AGUCUGAGUCCCCAGUGCCUGGCGUGGGUGAGCUCAGGGCUGCUCCGUAUGGGGGCAUCCAGGCCUGGCUGCUGAUGCCCUGUGGCUGAGGACACCUCCAUCUGCAUGAGCCAGUUUGGAAGUCCAGCUUGCCCCCCAGGCAGUGGAGGAGUCAUUUUGGAUUUGGGCUGACCUGGUAGACUUCUGAAAGACAGUGCUCUGGGUUCAAGUUGUCCUCAGGGCUGGAUGAUCCAUAGCAAAUAUCCCCUGAUGGAUAAGCAUUGUGCUGAGAGACUUGCCUCCAUCAGCUGUGUAAACCUCAGGAUGACCUGCACACAGCUGCCAUGCUGGGAGGAAGCCCAGCAGCCACACAGAGAGGCCACGACAGCCGAGGUCCCAGCCAAGCCAGCAUCAACUGCCCAACACGUCAAUGAGUGAUCCUGCAGAGCCUCCCAUCUCCUAGCCACCGCAGCUGAUGCUCUGAGAGCGGAGGCAAGCUGUCCUUGCUGGGCGCUGCUUAAACUGCAGAUGUAUGAACAAAAUAAAAAUGGUGGUUAUUUUAAGACACUACAUUUUGGGUCUCUAGGUGUUUGGGGGUGGUUUUUCUCUAGCAAUAGGUCCCCAGUCUUGUGCUUUUAGGGUCCUUGUCAAGAAGAAAAGUACAAUGAGGAGGCGAGCCAUGUGCCCCUUAC
This 671-nucleotide long non-coding RNA is filed under the name Homo sapiens (human). RNAcentral describes it as "non-protein coding lnc-GADD45G-3:11". The record is from RNAcentral. Lineage: Eukaryota; Metazoa; Chordata; Mammalia; Primates; Hominidae.